AGCUUGCCAUCUCAAAUCUCAGCUGAUACCUACUUGUACUCAUCACCUCCUCCUCCCAAGAAGCCCUAUUAUUAUCACUCUCCUCCACCACCUUCACCUCCUCCACCUAAGCCAUACUACUAUCAUUCACCACCACCACCUUCACCUCCUCCACCCAAGCCAUACUACUAUCACUCACCACCACCACCUUCACCUCCUCCACCUAAACCAUACUACUAUCACUCACCACCACCACCUUCACCUCCUCCACCUAAACCAUACUACUAUCACUCACCACCACCACCUUCACCUCCUCCACCUAAACCAUACUACUAUCACUCACCACCACCACCUUCACCUCCUCCACCUAAGUCAUAUUACUAUCACUCACCACCACCACCACCCAAAAAGAAGCCAUACUACUACCAUUCUCCCCCACCACCUUCACCACCUCCUCCUAAGCCAUACUACUAUCACUCUCCCCCACCGCCUUCACCUCCUCCACCUACGCCAUACUACUAUCAUUCUCCCCCACCACCCUCACCACCUCCACCUAAGCCAUACUACUACCAUUCACCACCACCCCCACCGAAGAAGAAGCCUUACUACUACCACUCUCCACCACCACCUUCACCUCCUCCUCCAAAGAAGCCAUACUACUACCACUCCCCACCUCCUCCCAAGAAGCCCUACAAAUAUUCAUCUCCCCCACCUCCAGUGCACCCUUACCCUCAUCCUCACCCCCAUCCCCAUCCACACCCCCACCCUCACCCUCCCUACGUUUACAAAUCUCCUCCCCCACCCCCUAAGAAGCCAUACAAGUACCCAUCCCCACCACCUCCAGUCCACGUUUACCCUCACCCUCACCCGCAUCCACACCCUCACCCUCAACCUCACCCCCAUCCACAACCCCACCCUCCCUACAUUUAUCAGUCUCCUCCAC
This 922-nucleotide long non-coding RNA is filed under the name Phaseolus vulgaris (common bean). Its description in RNAcentral is "long non-coding RNA (PVUL_LNC002044)". Lineage: Eukaryota; Viridiplantae; Streptophyta; Magnoliopsida; Fabales; Fabaceae. The record is from RNAcentral.